ACCAACUCGAUGGACAUGAGAUUGAGCCAGCUCUGGGAGUUGGUGACGGACAGGGAAGCCUGGUGUGCUGCAGUCCAUGGGGUUGCAAAGAGUCGGACGCGACUGAGCGACUGAACUGAACUAUAAAUUAAGAGGCUAAGUAUGGGGCAUGAGCUGUAACCAACAAGACAGACACAGUUCCUACUUAGGGACAGGAGAGGAAAUCAUAAACCAAAGAGGAAAAAAACAUUUUAUAUUUGAUUAAAGUAAUAUAGCAACAAUGACAGGAAACAAUUACAACACCAGGUCUGAGUAAAUCCUUGCAAAUAUGGGGUUUACAAACAGCAUAUCUUAAUGCAAGGCCUAACUCAGAAUUGUGGCAAUCUUCCCCUCAGAGGGACUAUGGAAGCAGCACAGCCAGGAGAAGGCUCUGGAAGAGGUAAGUGGCUCUGGGUUUUUUGGGUUUUUUUUCCUGCCAGCACUUUCUACCCUUCCGAGUACGAGACAGUAUGCCCAGUGGGAAUAUGGCCAAAGAUGGCUGCUUACAACACUGAAGCCUCAGCUACAGUAAUGGGUCCAAGUGUAGACACGUGACUCGAUAAGAAAAAUCAUAGCAGCCCACUUCUGAGCUGGGCUGCAGUGCUUGGUCCACGUGUGGUCACGUAACCUAAGCAGGGCCAAGGCAGGAUUGUUUUAAGUAGAGCUGGGGAGAGGAUUGCUUUUCCCAGCCACUCACCAGCAUCCAGAGCUACUAGUGACUGCAAAGACUGAGGCCAACAUGGAGGAAGGGAGGAACACGGGAUGGGAUGGGGGUUUGGGGAGGAGACAGACUGGCGCUGCGUUCUGUCCCUGGAUCCAAGAGUGACUCAGCCUCUCUUGUCCUUCAGCAUGGAUACCUGAGUAAUGAAUCCCCCAUCAUACCUCAGUCAGAUCAGCUCUGGUUCUGUAUGCACCAGAGCAUCCCAAUUCAGGACUUGGGAACUGUUUUUUCCUUCUCAUGGACCGUGUGAAGCUAAGCAGGGUAGGUUAUCCUCAGAACUCAGUUCUCCCCCUAGGUUUGCCUGGCUGUGUUUGGGAAUGAGCGAUUCCCCCAGGCCCCUCUCCAUCUCUGCCCACCACCACCAGCCUGCUUCCAAUUAAUUUACCACUGAAUCAGAGCUCAACAUUUAUUCUUGGACUUCAAGUCCCAACUUCUUUCUGCUUGCCUGCAUCUCCGUGACCUCAUUCCCAACACACAUCCACUUCUCCUCACCGGGCUCUCCACCAAGGACGGAGCCUGCAGCUUGUCCUGGCCUCUGCUCCAACGCCCACCACGUUAAUGGAAUGACAUGUUCUGCCUGUGAGUGGUGACCUUGAGCCUGGAGCCCAGGUCUCACUCAUCUCUGCACUCCAGUGGCUGGCAUGCAGCAGGUGGGCAGCAAGUGCGGGAGGCAGGGAAAGGAGAAGGGGAGAGAGGGUCGCUCCUUCCUGCUGAUUCAGGUCAACCAGUGUGUUAAGUUCUAUACGUGUUUCCUCUGCCAGAUACUCUUGCACCAGGCGAACACACAGCUCAUGCCCUCAUCUCCUUUAGGCCUCUCCUCCAACGUCAGUUCUCCGAUUUCCUGUACUGCAGUUGCCAGUGAACUGCAUGCUCCCAGACCCCAUCUCAAUCCCUGCUUUUCUCCGUGCUUUCUUGUUCCCUUCCACCACCACUGGUCUUUCUCCAUGCUCUAUUUAUCUACUUUCUCUCACGGAAGUGUCAGCUCAGGUGGGCAGCUAUCUAAUUUCUUCUCUGCUGUGUCCUCCGCGCCUAUUAGAUGCUCACUAACCGUCUGUGGCACGAAUUCACCAAAACCACCUUACCAAAUUUGUUUCUCCCUAUGCACUUCAUAUGGUUCAGGUGUGGUCGUGUGACCUAAGCAGGACCAAUCCAGGAUUGAUUUCAGUGGAGCUGCUGAGAAGAUUGCUUUUCCCACCCACUCUCCCAGCAUCCAGAGCUCCCUGUGACGGGUGAACUGCGUUCCUAUGUUGAUAUGGAGAAGGAGGUGCCACUAUUGCCUGGAGAAUCCCCAUGGACAGAGGAGCCUGGUGGCCUACAGUCCGUGGGGUCGCAAAGAGUCAGACAGGACUUACUAAGCAACAAAAAUGCAGUUCAUGCAUCUUACAGGUGCUGUGAGUGUCAGCGGAUGUGUUAGGUUCCUAGGGCGAGUUAUUACAAACUGAGUGGCUUGAUACUACAAAAAUCUAUCAUUUCCUUAUUGUUAUAAUCUAUUAAACCUAUGGCUUCUGCAGGCUACAAGUCCAAACUUGGCAGGGACACACCCCUCCCAGGUGCUCCAGAGCAAGGUCCAUUCCUUGCCUCCUGCAGCUUCCGGUGGCUCCAGCACUCCUUGGCAUGUGGCCGCGUCACUCUAAUCUCUGCCUCUGUCUUCCGGUAUUCGUCCCUGUGUGUCUGUCUCUGCUUCUCUCAUAAAAGGAUGCUUGUAAUUGCAUUUAGUGCCCAUCUGAGUAAUCCAGGGUAAAUUCCACCUCAAGACCCUUAACUUAACCGCAGCUUUUCCAUAUAAGGAAACCUGAGAAGGCUCUGGGAGAGACGUGGACAUACUUUUUCUCGCUCUAGGAGUCACCAUUCAGCCCUCUAUAUUAUUUGCUUAAAGACCAGAAAAGCAAAGCUUUCCCACCACCACUUCAUUGGCCUGACAGAUAUGUGAUGAAGAGAGUAUUAUCAUCAUAUUACCUCGCUCCCGUCAAGUGUGGAAAUGAUUUUUUAAACGCCAUUUUCUGUGUUUUUAAUUAUCCCAAUUUUCAAAAAUAAUACCAUGCAUAUGGUAAGAAAAACAGUACAGAAACAUGGGAGAUACAGGAGCCCCUUUGCAAUUUUCCUCUUAACUCCAGUUUCACUUUUUAAAUGUAAUCACCAUAUGCAGUCUGCAUAAUCUUCAUAAAUUUUCUAAGCAUAUUCGAGAGCACACACUUUUUUGGCUUCUAACAUUAAGAACAGUGGCGGGGGGCUGGGAUGGCUUAUAUCCUGAAGGCACGACAGCCCUCUGACCUACCAGAAGCUUUCUAAGGACUUCUAGCAAUGCACCACACUUAACCUGUCCCCUACUCUAAGCACUUCAGUUAACUCCAGGAUUUUAAUGUUAUAGAUACUCUCUGGUAUCUGUCCAGCUAUACACCAUUGGAUACACUCCUAGACGUGGGAUUUCCAGGUCAAUGUGUACAUUUUAAAUUUCUACAGCUAUUGCCCAGUGCCAUUCACCAAGGUGGUGAAAUUCACACGCCCAUCAACAAUGCACAGGUGGGGGUGUCUGUUGCCAACACCCUCGCCCAUCCUGUCAAGACAGCAGCGUGUCAGAUCUCAAACUCAGGUAAGCGGACUUUCCAUGUGGGCCUGGUGGGGUGGACAUAGCCUGUGAGGUUUUCCCUGUAGCUGUCUGAGGCACUGAGCUGCUCAGAGCUCUCGUUUAGGUUUUAUAAACAAAGACAGAGUCUGGGGAGGUGAGCCAGAACCAUGCAGUGAGACGCAUUGUGCAACUCAGUAUUUAUUUCUUUAGCACAGCUAGAACUUAAAUAUGGUCAAAACAUAUUCUCCUUUUAAUUUACACAAACAAAUAUGUUCCCGGGCUGACACCUCUGGUGCCAAGUUUCUAGGGGAAACGAAAUUCUACUGUGAGAUGAGAAACCACCAGGGAGAAGAUGAGGGUGGAAAAGCCACCACCGUCUGCUUCGCACGUCCGAGCUGGGCUUCUCAGAGGGGUGUUUCAGAACUGGGCUGCUGCCUCUUGCUCUCUUUCUGUCUUUGUUGCAGAUAAACCUGCCAGUAAUUUCAGCAAACGAAACGUGGAACAUGUAAAGGCCAAAUGAUGGAAAACACUCCAGUUUUAAUAAAAGGAGGUCUGCUCGGCUGGGACUCCUCUGUCCUGCUAGUCAGGAGAUGCAAAGAUUUAUCCAGAGAGGGGCUGAUGAAUUGAAGAAACAGAAAUGAGGCCAAUGUGAGUUGCCUUUCAAGAGCUGUGCUAAUAUAAAACCAAGCAACUUGAAUUUAUUCCAAGAGGGGAUUAAAGCAACAUGUUAUUUUGAGUGAUUGCUUAAUUUAUUGAGCUGUGGCUAGAUCGGUAAUGAAAUACAGCCCUUGCAACUGAUAACCUCUAGCUGUAAUUGAACUUCUACAAUUAAGAAAUAUUUUCUGAGAGUUUCUCUGGAACAGCUCAGAAUUUUUAGUCUCUGUGGUCGGGUACAUUUGAGCACUCGUUUUCCGGGCAAGUUUUCCUUUCUUUAAGGAGCGACAGGCUGAUGUUAAUAAGGACAAUAAGCAGCAUUUUACUGAAUGUCUUGUGUAUACCAGGCACUUAAUAUACAUUAUCUCUAGUCUCGACCACAGCCCAAGGAAGUCAUUCGUAUUUGUCCCUGUUUUAUAAAGAUGAGGCUCCUAGAUGUUAAGUGAUUUCCCAGAGUGGUGGUGUCCAAGAUGAUAGCUACUGGUCACUUGUGGCUAUUUCUGUGUAAAUUAGUUUAAAAUGUUUUAAUCUAAAAUUUCACUGCUUAGGUUGCACUAAUAACUAUACAGGGCUAGUGGCCACCACAUUGGAUGGUGCAGAUAUAGAUCAUUUCGAUUACUGCAGAAAGUUCCAUUGCUCAGCGCCAUUCCAGAGAUUUCCUAGGUAGAGACAGGCAGUGCUAGGUUUCAACCUCAAGCUAAUGGGCUUUGAAGGCAGCAUCUACCAUAGCCCUUGUUUCCUUCUCUUCCUUUGGCUGAGAAGGAAGGACUAGAGCAGUGAUUCUAAACCCUGGCUGCACAUUAAAAUCACCUGGACUCUUAUGUAAUAUCCUAUCUGGCCAUUUUAAUGACUAUAUUCCAGAUAGGCAAAAUAGCUGCAAGACUGAAUUAUUUCCUUUAUCAAUGUUUUAUUAUCUGUUAACAUAACUAUACUGACUUUCUAAAAUUUUGGUGAAUUGAACAUUAAAAAAAAAAUUACCUGGACUGGAACUUCCCUGGUAGUCCAGGAAAGCAUGGAUCUGCCCUCUCGAUUCGGGGAGCAGGGCAGGGGGGCACUGGGUUCGACUCCUGGUCAAGGAACUAGAUCCCACAUGCCACAACUAAGACCCAGCACAGCCACAUAAAUAAAAUUACCUGGACUGCUUUUUAAAAAAGUGUUAGGGUCCCAGCCCCAGAGAUUCUGACUUAAUUGUGAUUGAGAGGGGUUUUUAUAAUUCCUCAUGUGACUCAAAUGUGCUUUGUGGAUUAAGAGCAAUCAGAUGUGAGGCUCCACACACAAGAUCGUGAAAGGCGCUGGCUCAUUUGCCGUGAGAAUGUGAUCCCUUGCGGACCACAACUUGGGCUUCUCUCAGAGCCGCUUCUAAACCUCCUCAUCAGAGACAGGCUCAUUUCUGAGGGGAAGACUUAAGUGCUUUCUCACAUGCUUCCUGCUUGAUGGGAGAUCCAGUGGGGAGCUCUGCUUUUAGAAACAGGCUCUGUCGCACAGUCAUGCAAGAAAAGAGAUGUGGAUGUAAGAUCAUAGAGAUGAAGUGAAAAACCUGGAGUCCCCAGUCCAAAUGGGAAGUAUUGGUAUUACAAAAUAAUAGAUUGGUAUUACAUUUUGCCUUACAAAAUAAAGCGUGUGUUUCCUAUCCCUGUCCACUGAAAAGGUUUGACGUAAUGGGCAAUUCAGGAACAGCGAGCACUCGCAGCACCCACACUGUGGUCUCUAAACCCCACUUCUAACUAGAAGUGCUGUGUAGAGAGAGGGCAGACUCCAGGUCUGAGGCAGGAAAUGUGGAGGAUGAGCCUGAACAGCUUGGCAUCCAGGUGGCUCAGAAACUCACAGACUUAAGGGGACUUGUCAGAAAGGAGUCAGGAAGACAAUGUGAAGAGAUUCCCACUGGCCAAAGAUGGGACAUUUUGAGCAUCGGUAAGUAUAAUAACUGCAGUGGAAGAAAAUGGGUUAUGUAUGUCCAAACCUGUAAGUUCACAAUGAUACUUAGAAAAACAGGAAAACAUAAACUCAUUUGUCAUCUUUGGAGGAUGUUGGGACCAACUUUUUUUUUUUUAAUCUCAGUUCCCAGACCAGGGAUUGAACCCAGGUCAUGGCAGCAAAAGCCUGGAAUCCCAACCACUAGGCCACCCGAGAACUCCCUGGGAGCAGCUUCUUAGUUUGAAAACUGUCAAAUAAAGAGGAAAGAGUCAAGCAUUUCCACGAAGUAAGUACUAUUCUUCCAACUAUUUUAUGGAGGAAGUGAGAUACUUGCCCGGGGCUGCACUGUGGGUACAUGGCCCUGCCUUCUUUGCUCAGCCCUCUGCAUUGAUUCGGUUCUGAGAUGCAGCAGCAGGGCCAGGAAACCAGAACUUCCAGGAGAUGAAAAGCUCACCAGGUCAAACUCCAUUUUGCAGUUAAGGAAGCAGUGGCCCAGAGAGACCAAGUAACUUACUCCAAGCCACACAGCAAACUGGCCGCUUAACCUGUGUCCAAGCUGCUUGGGGAAGUCCCACAUGCUAAGGGAGGCUGCUUCCUGCCCCAUUUCAGCCUGUCCCAGGGUGGGGUGACCAGUCAUCUCGGGGUUUCCCAGGACUGGGAACUUUAGGUGCUUAAAUCAAGCGAGUUCAGAGCCAACUGGGAUGAGUCAGUCACUCUGUCUCAGAGCGAGGCAUCUAAAGGGAUGUUUUCUAGGACGUGAGAACCAGCGCCAAGUCCCCACAGAAGUAUUGGGGUUUCAUGCCUUAUAUAAUUAAAACUGAUUAUUAAUAUCUAGGCUCCCCCACCCCAGCCAGACUCCCCACCCACGGGAGGCAGGGACUGGUAUGUAAUGCACACUUCUGUUUUACAGCCCCUGAUUCAACGGUGACACAUGAAUGAUGCUCAGUAAACAGUCAUCAAAUGGACCGACCGACCAGGCUAUCACCACCUCUGACUGCGCCUCCAUCUGAAGUUGCAGAAACCCUCUAUAGCCACCGUGACCUCCAGUUCCCAUUUCAGACAGGCUGACAUCCACGAUGUCAUAUGAUAGAAGGUGACUCCAGAGAGACUGCCGACAAGGCUCCUUGAGGGAGCUAUGGCAAACGAGUGGGUGUGGUUUUUCUUUAAUUAUUGUACCUGUUUUGUCUGUUCUUUCUUGGCUCUGUUCACAUCCCCACCCCAGCGCCAGUGCAGAAAGAAAAAAAAAAAAAAAAAAACAGAACAAAAACAAAACAUCGCAGAGUUUGAGACAAGAUAGCUGGCCCAUUCCCUCUCUGCUUGUAAUUAAUGCUGAAAAUGACUUGCCUUGGCCACAAAGGUAAUAAUAAAGUCAGGAAGUCUGA
Molecule: long non-coding RNA, 7255 nt
Organism: Bubalus bubalis (water buffalo)
Lineage: Eukaryota; Metazoa; Chordata; Mammalia; Artiodactyla; Bovidae
Exons: 2
Source: RefSeq, a predicted model, not a curated record